RNAcentral lists this ribosomal RNA (492 nucleotides) under uncultured bacterium. RNAcentral's name for it is "partial 16S ribosomal RNA". It matches the Rfam family "Bacterial small subunit ribosomal RNA", at positions 29 to 507 of the family's 1533-position model. The record is from RNAcentral.
AGUGAACGCUGGCGGUAGGCCUAACACAUGCAAGUCGAACGGCAGCACAGUAAGAGCUUGCUCUUACGGGUUGCGAGUGGCGGACGGGUGAGGAAUACAUCGUAAUCUACUUUUUCGUGGGGGAUAACGUAGGGAAACUUACGCUAAUACCGCAUACGACCUACGGUUGAAAGCAGUGGAUCUUCGGACCUUGCUCGAUUGAAUGAGCCGAUGUCGGAUUAUCUAGUUGGCGGGGGAAAGGCCCACCAAGGCGACGAUCCGUAGCUGGUCUGAGAGGAUGAUCAGCCACACUGGAACUGAGAAACGGUCCAGACUCCUACGGGAGGCAGCAGUGGGGAAUAUUGGACAAUGGGCGCAAGCCUGAUCCAGCCAUACCGCGUGGGUGAAGAAGGCCUUCGGGUUGUAAAGCCCUUUUGUUGGGAAAGAAAAGCAGCAGGUUAAUACCCCGCUGUUCUGACGGUACCCAAAGAAUAAGCACCGGCUAACUUCGUG